AAUCAACGCUGGCGGCGUGCCUAACACAUGCAAGUCGAGCGGUAAGGCCCUUUCGGGGGUACACGAGCGGCGAACGGGUGAGUAACACGUGGGUGACCUGCCCUCAGCUCUGGGAUAAGCCUGGGAAACCGGGUCUAAUACUGGAUAUGACUCCAUGACGCAUGUUGUGGGGUGGAAAGCCUUGUGCGGCUGAGGAUGGGCCCGCGGCCUAUCAGCUUGUUGGUGGGGUGAUGGCCUACCAAGGCGACGACGGGUAGCCGGCCUGAGAGGGCGACCGGCCACACUGGGACUGAGACACGGCCCAGACUCCUACGGGAGGCAGCAGUGGGGAAUAUUGCGCAAUGGGCGAAAGCCUGACGCAGCCAACCCGCGUGUGUGAUGAAGGCCUU
Molecule: ribosomal RNA, 389 nt
Filed under: uncultured bacterium
Lineage: Bacteria
Description: bacterial SSU rRNA
Rfam family: Bacterial small subunit ribosomal RNA
Source: RNAcentral